UACCUACGGGGCGCAGCAGUAGGGAAUAUUGCUCAAUGGGGGAAACCCUGAAGCAGCAACGCCGCGUGGAGGAUGAAGGUUUUCGGAUUGUAAACUCCUUUUAUCAGGGACGAUAAUGACGGUACCUGAAGAAAAAGCUCCGGCUAACUACGUGCCAGCAGCCGCGGUAAUACGUAGGGAGCGAGCGUUGUCCGGAAUUACUGGGUGUAAAGGGAGCGUAGGCGGGACGGCAAGUCAGAUGUGAAAACUGAGGGCUCAGCCUUCAGACUGCAUUUGAAACUGCUGUUCUUGAGUGAAGUAGAGGU
This 305-nucleotide ribosomal RNA is filed under the name uncultured bacterium. RNAcentral's name for it is "bacterial SSU rRNA". It matches the Rfam family "Bacterial small subunit ribosomal RNA", at positions 335 to 658 of the family's 1533-position model. The record is from RNAcentral.